CAUUUUCUUUGAAUGCUUAGGUUAGGAACAUUUUCUCUGAACACUUAGGCUAACCUGUGGAGAUAAGGAGAUCAAGGAUUUGGUGGAACACAUUUUGUAGAACCAUCUUAAAAAUACAGUUGAUAAAAUUUCUAAAUGAAGACCAAGAUAAAGGGAACAAGAUCAGAAAACAUCAUCCUCACAGAAAUUAUUAAGAAUCCACAUACCAUGUAUGAAAUGAGCUAAUCCUGGAAGUCAUGGCUGUGCAGGAUGAUUUUGAGGGAAACUCUCCAUUAAAUCCAGCUCUAAGAACUCAAUCCCGGGCACUAGCUCUCCUGGCUGACCUCUGUUCUGGAUCUGUCCUGUCUCCUACCAGAGAGCAUUCGAUAUUAUGGAAGGACAUUUAUGACAGCGGCAACAUGGAAAGUCACGUGGCCAUAUUCCAGAUACCUCUGAAGUCUUAAUCCAAAAGAGUGAUAAUGUGGGGUAUCAGGUACAAUGGCAGGCAGAAGUUUAAAAGUAGAAUGCCUAACAGAACAUCUCAACUAAGAAUAUGAAAGCAACUGCUUACUCUACCUACUUAAAAGGCAGCUACAUUCCUGCAUGUCUGGAAACAAAAGAUACAAACAUAUCUUCAUUGUCAAAAGACAAGGUGUUAAGACUUCUUUCUCAGCAGGGGAUAAAAUGCAAUAAAACA
This is a long non-coding RNA of Lutra lutra (Eurasian river otter), 676 nucleotides long. RefSeq lists it as uncharacterized. The record is from RefSeq and is a predicted model, not a curated record. Lineage: Eukaryota; Metazoa; Chordata; Mammalia; Carnivora; Mustelidae. The transcript is spliced from 4 exons.